RNAcentral lists this ribosomal RNA (253 nucleotides) under uncultured bacterium. RNAcentral's name for it is "partial 16S ribosomal RNA". It matches the Rfam family "Bacterial small subunit ribosomal RNA", at positions 524 to 776 of the family's 1533-position model. The record is from RNAcentral.
GACAGAGGGGGCAAGCGUUGCUCGGCAUUACUGGGCGUAAAGGGCGCGUAGGCGGGAUGGCAAGUCGGUCGUGAAAUCCCUGGGCUCAACUCAGGGGGGUCGGCCGAUACUGCCGUUCUUGAGGGAUGCAGAGGAGACUGGAAUUCCCGGUGUAGCGGUGAAAUGUGUAGAGAUCGGGAGGAACACCGGUGGCGUAGGCGGGUCUCUGGGCAUUCCCUGACGCUGAGGCGCGAAAGCGUGGGGAGCAAACGGG